Molecule: ribosomal RNA, 301 nt
Filed under: uncultured bacterium
Lineage: Bacteria
Description: partial 16S ribosomal RNA
Rfam family: Bacterial small subunit ribosomal RNA
Source: RNAcentral
CAGCAGCCACGGUAAUACGUAGGGUGCGGGCGUUAAUCGGAAUUACUGGGCGUAAAGCGGGCGCAGACGGUUACUUAAGCAGGAUGUGAAAUCCCCGGGCUCAACCUGGGAACUGCGUUCUGAACUGGGUGACUAGAGUGUGUCAGAGGGAGGUAGAAUUCCACGUGUAGCAGUGAAAUGCGUAGAGAUGUGGAGGAAUACCGAUGGCGAAGGCAGCCUCCUGGGAUAACACUGACGUUCAUGCCCGAAAGCGUGGGUAGCAAACAGGAUUAGAUACCCCGGUAGUCCCUGUCUCUUAUAA